UGACACAAAAGGCAUUUUCAAAGAGAAAU
Molecule: non-coding RNA, 29 nt
Filed under: Rattus norvegicus (Norway rat)
Lineage: Eukaryota; Metazoa; Chordata; Mammalia; Rodentia; Muridae
Source: RNAcentral